CAGUCGCCGCGGUAAUACGUAGGUGGCAAGCGUUGUCCGGAAUUAUUGGGCGUAAAGGGCUCGCAGGCGGUUUCUUAAGUCUGAUGUGAAAGCCCCCGGCUCAACCGGGGAGGGUCAUUGGAAACUGGGAAACUUGAGUGCAGAAGAGGAGAGUGGAAUUCCACGUGUAGCGGUGAAAUGCGUAGAGAUGUGGAGGAACAUCAGUGGCGAAGGCGACUCUCUGGUCUGUAACUGACGCUGAGGAGCGAAAGCGUGGGGAGCGAACAGGAUUAGAUACCCCCGUAGUCCCUGUCUCUUAUAC
Molecule: ribosomal RNA, 301 nt
Filed under: uncultured bacterium
Lineage: Bacteria
Description: partial 16S ribosomal RNA
Rfam family: Bacterial small subunit ribosomal RNA
Source: RNAcentral